RNAcentral lists this long non-coding RNA (320 nucleotides) under Danio rerio (zebrafish). RNAcentral describes it as "lncRNA (ENSDARG00000117805.1)". Lineage: Eukaryota; Metazoa; Chordata; Actinopteri; Cypriniformes; Danionidae. The record is from RNAcentral.
ACAAAGGAGAGGUCUGCUGUACUGUUGGAUUCAGAGGGGUAUACAGGGUCACUAAUCAAAAAUGCCUCAGGUGGAGGAAAAAUUUUACUCUACAUCGUACCACUUCAACAUGAGCUUGAUUUGACGCCACUGCCACCAGAUGCAUCUGAAUUUGCACGAAUGCCAAAGGCUCAUUGUAAAAAAAUGCAAUACUUUGAUGCCUCUUCAGACAUUGGCUUUGCAUGCUGAACAGUGUGACAACUUGGAAACUUCUGAAAAUGAGGAAGAUGAUUUGGUGUUGAUAGAGGAGACAAUGUCUUCAAGGCAAAAUAUUGCACCUU